AUUAAUCAAGCAAUGCUCAUUCCUGCAGUGUAACAAUUUUGAGCCAGUCUUUGAAGAGGAUAUUGAUGAAUCACACAAAUUAAUUUGGAAUCAAAUGUGAAUUAUUUUACAUAUAUAUAUAUAUAACUACUGUAUAAAGAGUGGCAUUCAAGAAGUAAAGACAGACUGAACUACAGCUGAAUAGAAAUCUUCAAGAAAGAGAUGGAGAGGAACAUUAUCACCAACUAUCCAUGACACAAACCUGAGAGACUACUAUGAUGCCUACUUUCACUUCUCCAUCCAUUACAGUAACCACACUCCCCUUAUCUUCGAUGAUUAACUACCAUCACUUGGCUCAUGUCACCUGGGGAUCCCAUUAUCUCCAUUGCCUUUAGGGAUCCCUGCUCAACAGCAGCAGUUUCCGCUGGAAUUUCUGACCUACAGAAAAGAGUAACUGAAGAACUCUUCGAGGAUACUGGGUCUCCCCUCAUAAAUUUAUUUCGCACAGUUUUAGUGAAAGAUGUGAUAUCCUGGAGCAGCAGAUCACCUUUGGGUCCAUGUUUCAGCAAACCAACUAAACAACCUUUGGAGCCCUUUCUCACCUCUUGAGCUGAAUCAUUGGAUCCAGGAUCUCUGUUUACUGAGCCCAUAUCAAUAAAAUAAGCCUGAUCCAACUUUUUUCCUUUCACCAUGAUUCAACACUCACAAGCUCCAUUCCCACACAUAAUUUCCAUAUUUCUGUAUGUAUACAUUAUAAAAAUC
RNAcentral lists this long non-coding RNA (741 nucleotides) under Equus caballus (horse). Its description in RNAcentral is "lncRNA (ENSECAG00000044241.1)". The record is from RNAcentral. Lineage: Eukaryota; Metazoa; Chordata; Mammalia; Perissodactyla; Equidae.